UGCAUCUUCAAAAAGCGGAGGAAAAGAAACCAACAGGGAUUGCCUUAGUAGCGGCGAGUGAGCGGCAAAAGCUCAAAUUUGAAAUCUGGCGUAUUCUGCGUCCGAGUUGUAAUUUGAAGAAGGAUACUUUGGGGUUGGCUCUUGUCUAUGUUUCUUGGAACAGAACGUCACAGAGGGUGAGAAUCCCGUGCGAUGAGAAGCCCAAUUCCGUGUAAAGUGCCUUCGAAGAGUCGAGUUGUUUGGGAAUGCAGCUCUAAGUGGGUGGUAAAUUCCAUCUAAAGCUAAAUAUUGGCGAGAGACCGAUAGCGAACAAGUACAGUGAUGGAAAGAUGAAAAGAACUUUGAAAAGAGAGUGAAAAAGUACGUGAAAUUGUUGAAAGGGAAGGGCUUGAGAUCAGACUUGGUAUUUUGUAUGUCUUGCUUUCGGGUGGGGCCUCUGCAGUUUACUGGGCCAGCAUCGGUUCGGGUGGUAGGACAAUUGCGAAGGAACGUGGCACUGCUUCGGUGGUGUGUUAUAGCCUUUGUGGAUACUGCCUGUCUGGACCGAGGACUGCGUCAUUUGACUAGGAUGCUGGCAUAAUGAUCUUAAGUCGCCCGUCUUAAAAACCGGAACACACA
This 618-nucleotide ribosomal RNA is filed under the name Hemisphaericaspora elongata. Its description in RNAcentral is "Spathaspora elongata partial large subunit ribosomal RNA". It matches the Rfam family "Eukaryotic large subunit ribosomal RNA", at positions 37 to 664 of the family's 3401-position model. Lineage: Eukaryota; Fungi; Ascomycota; Pichiomycetes; Serinales; Debaryomycetaceae. The record is from RNAcentral.